UCCCUGGAGGACUAGUGGUUAGGCCUCGGCACGCUCACUGCCACGGCCUGGGAUCGAUUCCUGGCCAGGGAA
RNAcentral lists this transfer RNA (72 nucleotides) under Pangasius djambal. Its description in RNAcentral is "tRNA-Glu". Lineage: Eukaryota; Metazoa; Chordata; Actinopteri; Siluriformes; Pangasiidae. The record is from RNAcentral.